This 502-nucleotide ribosomal RNA is filed under the name uncultured bacterium. Its description in RNAcentral is "partial 16S ribosomal RNA". It matches the Rfam family "Bacterial small subunit ribosomal RNA", at positions 30 to 523 of the family's 1533-position model. The record is from RNAcentral.
AUUGAACGCUGGCGGCAGGCUUAACACAUGCAAGUCGAGCGGGGUGAUGGUGCUUGCACUAUCACUUAGCGGCGGACGGGUGAGUAGUGCUUAGGAAUCUGCCUAUUAGUGGGGGACAACAUCUCGAAAGGGAUGCUAAUACCGCAUACGUCCUACGGGAGAAAGCAGGGGAUCACUUGUGACCUUGCGCUAAUAGAUGAGCCUAAGUCGGAUUAGCUAGUUGGUGGGGUAAAGGCCUACCAAGGCGACGAUCUGUAGCGGGUCUGAGAGGAUGAUCCGCCACACUGGGACUGAGACACGGCCCAGACUCCUCCGGGAGGCAGCAGUGGGGAAUUUUGGACAAUGGGCGCAAGCCUGAUCCAGCAAUGCCGCGUGAGUGAAGAAGGCCUUCGGGUUGUAAAGCUCUUUUGUCAGGGAAGAAACGGCUGAGGAUAAUACCUUCGGCUAAUGACGGUACCUGAAGAAUAAGCACCGGCUAACUACGUGCCAGCCGCCGCAGUAA